UGUUUUUUUGAGACAGGGUUGGGCCUGGAGAUUUAAUACCAGCUGGCAUUGAGUUCCCAGCUGUGCACCUACCUCUGCUCCCUGAAGGCUGUGAUUGCAGCUGUGCACCUACCUCUGAUCCCUGAAGGCUGUGGUUGCAGCUGUGUACCACCUUGUUUUCAAAGCUUUAUUUUAGUUGGAUAUGGUGUCAAGCACCUACUAAUAUGAUCACUUGGGAGAUAGAGAUAGGAAGAGUAAGAAUUUAAUGCCAACCUUAGCCACAUAUUGAGUUUGAGGCCAGUCUAGGCUGUAGAAGUAUUUGCUUAAACAAACAAACAUCCAAACCAACCAACCGUCCAACCAACCAACUAACUAAUCAACCAAACAAAACUCCCCAAACCAUGUGUCUUAGUAAGGGUUUGUAUUCCUGCUCAAACAUCAUGACCAAGAAGCAAGUUGGGGAGGAAAGGGUUUAUUCAGCUUAUAAUUCCACAUUGCUGUUCAUCACCAAAAGAAGUCAGGACUGGAACUCAAGCAGGUCAGGAAGCAGGAGCUGAUGCAGAAGCCAUGGAGGUAUGUCACUUCCCUGGCUUGCUCAGCUUGCUUUCCUAUAGAACUCAGGACUAUCAGCCCAGGGAUAGCACCAUCUACAAUGGGCCCUCCCACCCUUAAUCACUAAUUGAGAAAAUGCCUUACAGCUGGAUCUCAUGGAGGCAUUUCCUCAAGGGAGGCUCCUUUCUCUGUGAUAACUCAAGCUUAUGUCAAGUUGACACACCAGCCAGUACCGAAACCUAAGAGUCAAUAAAUAAAAUUAAAGCAUUAUUUUUUUAUAGAUUGUGUACUAACCACACUAGCCUUUUGUGGGGGCUACCAUCUCUCAAAUAUUGUUUUAAAGGGAUUUGAAUAUUCAUCUAUAGAGUGUUGUUGUUCUUCCAUACCACAGGCUCCCCCACCCCUGUCUCAAUUACAGUUUCCUAUGGCCAGUUGGAAUCCAAAUAUAUUAAAGAGGAAAUUCCAAAAUAAAUAAUUGCAGAGGCUUUCAUUUGCACGCCAUGUUGAACAUUUCACUUUGUUUGACUAUGGCUAGUCCAGGAUGUGAAUUCUCCCUUCCCCACAGUGUCCAUGCUGGGCGUACUGUCUUCCUAGUGGUCUCCCCGCAAUUUCCUUGGCUAUCAGAUCAACCAUCAUAGUGUCAUAGUGUCAUCUCUUUUCAACUAGGCUUUAGUUUAUUUAAUGGUGGCCCCCAGCAUAUAAGAAUUAGCAUGCUGAUCUCUCAGAUAUACCAAAGAGAAGCUCAAACUUCUUUUGAAUGAAAAGAUGGACACUCUUGACUUGAUGAUAACAGGAUAAAAAAAUGUGUAUUCAGAUUGCUAAGAUCUGUGGUAAGAAGAAGCCUUCUGAAUGAGAAAUUGCCAAGCAAAGACAUCUGUGUUAAUUUUGCAGUCUCACCUCAAAUUGCAAGUUACAGCUCUGGUAUAUGAAAGAUGCUUGGUUGAGAUGG
Molecule: long non-coding RNA, 1480 nt
Filed under: Mus musculus (house mouse)
Lineage: Eukaryota; Metazoa; Chordata; Mammalia; Rodentia; Muridae
Description: long non-coding RNA chr14:119270451-119271931
Source: RNAcentral